This 498-nucleotide ribosomal RNA is filed under the name uncultured bacterium. RNAcentral describes it as "partial 16S ribosomal RNA". It matches the Rfam family "Bacterial small subunit ribosomal RNA", at positions 30 to 523 of the family's 1533-position model. The record is from RNAcentral.
AUUGAACGCUGGCGGCAUGCCUUACACAUGCAAGUCGAACGGUAACAGGUCUUCGGAUGCUGACGAGUGGCGAACGGGUGAGUAAUACAUCGGAACGUGCCUAGUAGUGGGGGAUAACUACUCGAAAGAGUGGCUAAUACCGCAUGGGAUCUACGGAUGAAAGCAGGGGAUCGCAAGACCUUGUGCUACUAGAGCGGCCGAUGGCAGACUAGGUAGUUGGUGGGAUAAAAGCUUACCAAGCCGACGAUCUGUAGCUGGUCUGAGAGGACGAUCGGCCGCACUGGGACUGAGACACGGCCCAGACUCCUACGGGAGGCAGCAGUGGGGAAUUUUGGACAAUGGGCGCAAGCCUGAUCCAGCAAUGCCGCGUGCAGGAUGAAGGCCUUCGGGUUGUAAACUGCUUUUGUACGGAACGAAAAGCCCCGGGUUAAUACCCUGGGGUCAUGACGGUACCGUAAGAAUAAGCACCGGCUAACUACGUGCCAGCCGCCGCCGUAA